UUUGAUCCUGGCUCAGGAUGAACGCUAGCUACAGGCUUAACACAUGCAAGUCGAGGGGAAACGAUAUUGGAAGCUUGCUUCCGAUAGGCGUCGACCGGCGCACGGGUGAGUAACGCAUAUCCAACCUGCCCACCACUUGGGGAUAACCUUGCGAAAGUAAGACUAAUACCCAAUGAUAUCUCUAGAAGACAUCUGAAAGGGAUUAAAGAUUUAUCGGUGAUGGAUGGGGAUGCGUCUGAUUAGCUUGUUGGCGGGGUAACGGCCCACCAAGGCGACGAUCAGUAGGGGUUCUGAGAGGAAGGUCCCCCACAUUGGAACUGAGACACGGUCCAAACUCCUACGGAAGGCAGCAGUGAGGAAUAUUGGUCAAUGGGCGAGAGCCUGAACCAGCCAAGUAGCGUGCAGGAUGACGGCCCUAUGGGUUGUAAACUGCUUUUAUAAGGGAAUAAAGUGAGCCUCGUGAGGCUUUUUGCAUGUACCUUAUGAAUAAGGACCGGCUAAUUCCGUGCCAGCAGCCGCGGUAAUACGGAAGGUCCGGGCGUUAUCCGGAUUUAUUGGGUUUAAAGGGAGCGUAGGCCGGAGAUUAAGCGUGUUGUGAAAUGUAGACGCUCAACAUCUGCACUGCAGCGCGAACUGGUUUCCUUGAGUACGCACAAAGUGGGCGGAAUUCGUGGUGUAGCGGUGAAAUGCUUAGAUAUCACGAAGAACUCCGAUUGCGAAGGCAGCUCACUGGAGCGCAACUGACGCUGAAGCUCGAAAGUGCGGGUAUCGAACAGGAUUAGAUACCCUGGUAGUCCGCACGGUAAACGAUGGAUGCCCGCUGUUGGUCUGAAUAGGUCAGCGGCCAAGCGAAAGCAUUAAGCAUCCCACCUGGGGAGUACGCCGGCAACGGUGAAACUCAAAUGAAUUGACG
RNAcentral lists this ribosomal RNA (913 nucleotides) under uncultured bacterium. RNAcentral's name for it is "bacterial SSU rRNA". It matches the Rfam family "Bacterial small subunit ribosomal RNA", at positions 12 to 915 of the family's 1533-position model. The record is from RNAcentral.